GGAAUUGUCAUGGUUUCCUGAUACAUUACCUGGAAUUGGAAGAAUUGGUUUUAUACCCUGGAAUGUUGAAACAGAAGUCCUUCCUCUCAUUUCUUCUGUGUUGCCAAGAACUAUUUUUCCAACAAGUACCAUAUCUUUCGAACAUUUUGGUAAAGUUUGUGAAAUCAUUUUCUGUUUUAAAAAUUAUUAUUAUUAGUUUCUUCCAGUUUCAUAAAAAUGUGUGUUCGAUGACUUAGAAAAGCUGUAAAGUAAGGCAUAGUAACUUGUAAAUACGUCUAUAAAUAUUUGGACAAUGAAUUAACUUUAGAAUUGCUUCAACUAGAGUGUAUGUAUAUAUAGAUAGAUAGAUACAUAGUCUCUCCAUAUAUCUAUAUACACACACAAUGGAAUAUUAUUCUGCCACAAAAAGAAGGAAAUCUUGUUUGUGCCAACAUGGAUGAACCUGGAGGACAUUAGGCUAAGUGAAUAAGGCAGGCACAGAAAGGCAAAUAACCACAUGAUCUCACUUAUAUGUGGAAUCUAAAAAAGUUGAUCUCGUAGAACUAGAUUGUAGAUUAGGGGGUGGGGUAGGUGUGGUGGGGUGGAGGUUGUUGGUCAGAGGAUACAGUUUCAGCUGGAUAGAAUAAGUUCUAAAGAUCGAUUGUGAAACGUGAUGACUAUAAUAAUACAGUUGACCCUUGAACAACAUAGGUUUUAACUGGGUGG
This 705-nucleotide small RNA is filed under the name Pan troglodytes (chimpanzee). RNAcentral describes it as "retained intron". Lineage: Eukaryota; Metazoa; Chordata; Mammalia; Primates; Hominidae. The record is from RNAcentral.